Molecule: ribosomal RNA, 175 nt
Filed under: Listeria monocytogenes
Lineage: Bacteria; Bacillati; Bacillota; Bacilli; Caryophanales; Listeriaceae
Description: partial 16S ribosomal RNA
Rfam family: Bacterial small subunit ribosomal RNA
Source: RNAcentral
UUUAAAGAGAGUUUGAUCCUGGCUCAGGACGAACGCUGGCGGCGUGCCUAAUACAUGCAAGUCGAACGAACGGAGGAAGAGCUUGCUCUUCCAAAGUUAGUGGCGGACGGGUGAGUAACACGUGGGCAACCUGCCUGUAAGUUGGGGAUAACUCCGGGAAACCGGGGCUAAUACC